UUGGAAGUCUCCAUCUCUCGUGCGCUGGUUCCACCAGGCCAGCCCAGCCCCACGGCAGGCAACCAAGUUCAGAGGAGGAACGAAGAUUCCACGACCACGUCAGGGCGGUGGCAGCCAGGACAUGUGCCAGGGAGAGGAAAUGGGCCUGAAGAAUGAGACUGGGGUAAACGGCAGGGCUCCGUGAGGCAUGAAGCUGGCUCUGAAAGGAAGACCAAGGCCUAAGAGGAUAAGAAAAGGCCACCGCCGGGGACCUUGUGAGCUGGGCCCGUUUCCCGGGCUCUGGGUGAAGCUGGGGCAGAUCAGCCCGUUGCUGGCGGCUCUAAUGGGAAGAGUUUGCUUGGAUGGAGCUGGAAGCAACCUCCCCAUCAGGUCCCGGUUCUGCCCUCUGCAAACGCCAGACUAAUGGAGGAGGAUUCAUGGUUCUUUGUCCACAUCGGCAAGGACACUCCUGGCGGGGACAAGUACAUAAGCAAAGGCACAGAGGCUGGAGGCACAGGGCAUGUUCACAGAAGGCGCAGGAACACGGGAGAGCUGCAGGCUGCCCACCAAGUCCAGCCCCACUGGCCUGCCCAGCGUGGAGGCCCUGAGAGGCCGGAGGGGUAAGGUGGCAGACCUCCCUGGGGCCCCUCUGAUUAUUCUCUCUGCCCUCCCAAUUCCCAGUACAGGCCCUCAGGAUGUACUGAUGCCCCAACUAUACUCCUCAGCUCUGAGAAGCUGGUCCAGAUGCCUCUCCUCUCCAAGUUUGUUUCCCUGUAAGCCACACGGACACGUUGAUAGUGACCUCCAAGCUGACUGCAUAGCUCCUUCGCUCAGUUGGACAAAUACUUAUUGGGCAUUGAUUGUGGGUCAAGCAUUGGAUGAGGUACAGGGAAGACAGUGGUGAACAAAACAGACCUUAUCCUUGACUUCAUCCAGUUUACAGUCCACAGAGGCAGACAGGCAAAACGAACCUCCACUCCAUUAACAUACACUUUACAAAGCUUUGAAAAGAAGAUACUAGGGGCAAAGAGAGCAUACCACAGGAGAGGGGGUGAAGGAGCCCUCUCUAAAAUAAUCUUUAAGCUGGGACCUGAAUGCUGAGGAGGAGUAAGCCAGAGGAACGGUUUGGGGUAGAGUGCUCCAUGCAGAAGAACAACAUGUGCCAAGGCCCUGAGGCAGGGGAGUGCUGAACUCAUUUCCUCCUUGUGUGCAGAGAGCAGAGAGAAAGGGGGAGUAGCACUAGGCGAGUCUGGGGAAGUAGGCAGAGAACAGACAAGGCAGGGCCCCAUGGGCCAGGCAAUGACCUGAUAUUUGAGUCUAGGGACAAUGGGAAGCCACCCAAAGUAUUUUCAAUGGGCCUCCACACGAUUCUACACUUACAACUUUAAAGAUGACUUCAGUGGGGAGUGGAGAUCGUGGGUGGAACUUCCUCACCCCUGCCCUGCAAGAACUUCCAGGAUCUGAGGCCCCAGCAGUGAAGGGGUUGGCCAUGGCCAGGGGCCAGGAUCUACGCCGUUUCUUCCCCACCCCGGGCUGCCUCCAACAAUUAUAAUGUGCUCGCCACCGUUCUUCACCUCAUUUGAUUCUUCCACACCUGGGCAAGGGAGGCCCUAGGACAGGGACUCUCAGUUUCCUGACCCAGUAAAAGACACCGAGGCCCAGAGAGCUGAGCAGGUUUACCACACAUCAUGCAGCAAGUGACCCAAAACUAGAUCAGAUGAUUGCCAAGCACGAGCACUGUGCCGAGAUCCAUGCACCGUAGGAAUGGACAGCCUCGAAGAUGGAGAAGAAUGUUGGGGUGGAGGAGGGAGAUUUUAGAGGCUGGAGUGACCCUUGAGGAGGACAGGUCUGAGGCCCACGGUGCCAAACCGAAGGCCCCACACAGAAAGUCUGGGCAUGAUGUGGAAUGAAAUGGGGUGGCGUCUCUGGGGACACCAUACCCACAAAUGACCCCUGUGCAAACAACCAUGAGGACCAUGACAGUCUCAGGCCUUCCCAGGGGCCACACCCCAUGGCACAUCUGCUCCCGCUGCCCCCAACACGCCUGAUGAGAUUUAAAGGCAGCAGCUCUGCCCUGAGUCUGUGCAGCUCCUGGCACGACCGCCAACUCCUGCGACCAUCAUGACCCGGACGGAGCCCCCAGCCCCUCCAUCCCAGCGAGGGCCACAGAUCCCUCCUCAGUGGCGUCUGAGUCGCGGUGGCCCCGUGCUUCUCUAAUGAGACCUCUGUUGGAGCAGCCUGGACUCAGCGCUUCCAACAGCCACGUCCCCUCGGGGCCACUCCCCGUCUCCUUGGGGCUGCGGCAGCCUGGCCUACUGACAGCACCCUCCGCCUGGAACACCCCUCCCAGCUUCUUUCCUUGGUGCAUCUCUGCCCAGAAGGCUCAGCUCAGCCAUCUCCUUCCCAUUGUCCAAAGCUCUGAGCAGCGUCGAGCUCAGGAUGAGGGAGCAGCCUCUCCUCCGGGGUCCUGCAGCCCCUGUCCUUCUCUUGCUUCUCCCUGUGGACCUGAGCCUCUUGAGGGCGGGAUGUAUGUCUCCCUUCUUUCCGUUUCCCAGAGACCCGCCCACAGUAGGAGGUCAGUCAAUAUCGAUGUCUCUUCCCCUUCCUUUCUAGGAAGAGAGUCCAGCAAAGGGCCUUGGAGCAUGAAAAAAUUAGUUGAGAAUUUGAAUGGUGGUUGUUUAAAUCUUUCAGUUUCUAACUGAAUGAAGUUGUCUUGUCUGGCACGUCAUUCGAGGCCCUGUCCGGGUCACUGCUGCCCCCCACGCUCACACUGCAGCGCAGAAAAGCACGGACCAUUCCUUCCCCAUCCCCGGGCCCACAGGCAUCCAGCCUCCUCCACUCCUCCUUCUCUCCCUCUUGGCCAGUGGGGUUAGCUAAGUGCAGGUUGAACCUCAUCCUUCACCGGGCACCCAGACUGUGACAUCACCACCCUAACCCUCACCUAUGAAACAGCCUGCUAUGAACUAGGUCCUUGGAAAAUCUCAGCUCCCCUUCCCGGCCCUCUCUCCCUGCAUAAACCGCUUUCGCCUCCAAAUCUGAAGCUCAUCCCUCUGGCCCAGGAAGCCUGCUCUGACCUUGCCCACCUCCCAUCUUCGCUAAACUUGAAGACCAGGUGGCCUCCGGCUCACUCGCGUGCCCUGGGAAGCUGCGGGGAGGGAUGGAGCCGCCCGUGCGCCUGGAUGAAGGUGGAAUCCCACAGUGGGGAGAGAUUGUUUUUGGACGUGACACAAAUGCUAAAUGAAGAGCCCUCGGCCUUCCAAGCAAUCUUUGCUUUGUGCUCCGAGGCCCAAAACUAACAUUUUCAUAAUAAUUUUCCAGUAUCAAAGUGAUAGUUUUGAUUCAAGACAGCUGAAGCCUGCAAAACUGCGUGGCGGCCUCUCCCGCCCUCUAGCCAAACAUGUGCCGCUGUCUCUAUUUUAACACCUUUGAUAAUCAUCGAAAAAUGCGCGGCCCAAGCAGUUUCUCAGCUCUCUGACCGGGGCGGCCGCCUCUGGAAGGAGCCCGCUGGAAGUCUGUUUUCCUUCUGCAUUACUCUGAGCCCGGGGCUUAGUGCUCCCGGCUUGCCUGGCUUUGCAGCCUCCCUCUCUACAUUCCAUUAGUGAUGUCUGAUGCAGGAAUUGGCCUUUCUAGGGCCGUUAAAAAGGGGGGAGCCCAAGAAAUACAGUAACCCAAUCUCAUGGAAAACUGAUAUAAUCUUUUCAAAACUAUAAAGAUCGCUCACCCGGAGGAACAUCUGCAUGGAAAAAGAAAAAGGUUUAAACAAACUGGAAAGGGGUCGGGUAACUUGUAAAGGCCGGCGUGUCGGGAGACCGCUGGCUCGUCCGAG
Molecule: long non-coding RNA, 3805 nt
Filed under: Equus caballus (horse)
Lineage: Eukaryota; Metazoa; Chordata; Mammalia; Perissodactyla; Equidae
Description: lncRNA (ENSECAG00000049064.1)
Source: RNAcentral